Non-coding RNA from Poecilia latipinna (sailfin molly), 812 nucleotides. Lineage: Eukaryota; Metazoa; Chordata; Actinopteri; Cyprinodontiformes; Poeciliidae. The record is from the annotation of a RefSeq genome assembly.
GCAUCAGCAGCUCCAUGCUCCAGCGCUCUGGGAGAGUUUAUAGUCCUGACAGUUGAACACUGGAUGACUGACAGCUGUCCUUCAUCACAGCAGAAGACACAGAAAUCCUCCUCAUCAUCAGAAACAUGACUUUGAUCUGCGUCUUCAUCUGGACUCUCCUCUGCUGCUGCUUCACAGAGGUCAGAGGUCAGGUCACUGUGACUCAGCAGCCUGCAGCAGUGAGAGCUGAUCUGGGAGGAUCUGCCACCAUCAACUGUAGAACCAGUCAGGAUGUUUAUUAUUAUCGUAGUUGUUCCUGCUAUCUUUUAGCCUGGUACCAACAGAAAGAUGGACAAACUCCUAAGCUCCUCAUUGAUCGUACCAGCACUCGAGCAUCAGGGACUCCAAGUCGUUUUACAGGCAGUGGAUCAAACUCUGACUUCACUCUGACCAUCAGUGGAGUUCAGGCUGAAGAUGCUGCAGUUUAUUACUGCCAGAGUCUUCAUUACCCCAAUAGCCAGUAUGUGUUCACACAGUGAAAAACAGCCGUACAAAAACCAAAAGUGUCACAACUGAUGUAACUGGAAGCUGCUAUAGAGCGACACCACAUGGGCCCAAAAAUGCUGUCAAACAAAUUGCAUAACUUUAUUUGAGAGCUUUGAUGUCUUUCUCCUUUUACUACAAAAAAUUGUUUAAAUUAUUUAUUCACACCUAGAACAUGAUUAGCAUUGCUGCUAUUUUUAAAGUCAGCUGGAGAAUAGGAAACUAAGAUUAAAAUAAACACAAAUACAUCUAAAGUAAUUAUUCAUGUUUCUAAAAUUCAAAUAAUGAAG